This 454-nucleotide ribosomal RNA is filed under the name uncultured bacterium. RNAcentral describes it as "bacterial SSU rRNA". It matches the Rfam family "Bacterial small subunit ribosomal RNA", at positions 340 to 786 of the family's 1533-position model. The record is from RNAcentral.
UACGGAAGGCAGCAGUGGGGAAUAUUGCACAAUGGGCGAAAGCCUGAUGCAGCUAUGCCGCGUGUAUGAAGAAGGCCUUAGGGUUGUAAAGUACUUUCAUCGGGGAGGAAAAACAAAACUAAUAAUUUUAUUUCUUGACGUUACCCGAAAAAGAAGCACCGGCUAACUCCGUGCCAGCAGCCGCGGUAAUACGGAGGGUGCUAGCGUUAAUCAGAAUUACUGGGCGUAAAGAGCACGUAGGUGGUUUUUUUAAGUCAGAUGUGAAAUCCCUGGGCUUAACCUAGGAACUGCAUUUUGAAACUGAAAUACUGAGUAUCGUAGAGGGAGGUAGAAUUCUAGGUGUAGCGGUGAAAUGCGUAGAUAUCUGGAGGAAUACCUGUGGCGAAAGCGGCCUCCUAAACGAAUACUGACACUGAGGUGCGAAAGCGUGGGGAGCAAACAGGGAUUAGAUACC